This 120-nucleotide small RNA is filed under the name Marmota monax (woodchuck). The record is from RNAcentral. Lineage: Eukaryota; Metazoa; Chordata; Mammalia; Rodentia; Sciuridae.
GCGGGGUGCAGUGGUGCAUACCUGUAAUCCCAGCAGCCCAGGAGGCUGAGGCAGGAGAUUCACGAGUUCAAAGCCAGCCUCAGCAAACUUAGUGAGGAUCGAAGUGAGACCCUGUCUCUA